This 76-nucleotide non-coding RNA is filed under the name Oleiagrimonas soli. RNAcentral's name for it is "Fluoride riboswitch aptamer (crcB RNA motif)". It matches the Rfam family "Fluoride riboswitch aptamer (crcB RNA motif)". The record is from Rfam by way of RNAcentral. Lineage: Bacteria; Pseudomonadati; Pseudomonadota; Gammaproteobacteria; Lysobacterales; Rhodanobacteraceae. RNAcentral also lists the same sequence under 1 other name.
GGAGGCCGGGGAGAUGGCAUGCCUCCCGUCCGCCAUGCGGAUGAACCGCCCCAGGGCUGAUGAUGCCUGUUCCGUC